RNAcentral lists this ribosomal RNA (498 nucleotides) under uncultured bacterium. Its description in RNAcentral is "partial 16S ribosomal RNA". It matches the Rfam family "Bacterial small subunit ribosomal RNA", at positions 28 to 507 of the family's 1533-position model. The record is from RNAcentral.
GACGAACGCUGGCGGCGUGCCUAAUACAUGCAAGUCGAGCGGACGGAUGGGAGCUUGCUCCCAGACCGUCAGCGGCGGACGGGUGAGUAACACGUGGGCAACCUGCCUGUAAGACUGGGAUAACUCCGGGAAACCGGGGCUAAUACCGGAUAACUCUUUCCCUCACAUGCGGGAAAGCUGAAAGAUGGCAUCUCGCUAUCACUUACAGAUGGGCCCGCGGCGCAUUAGCUAGUUGGUGAGGUAACGGCUCACCAAGGCGACGAUGCGUAGCCGACCUGAGAGGGUGAUCGGCCACACUGGGACUGAGACACGGCCCAGACUCCUACGGGAGGCAGCAGUAGGGAAUCUUCCGCAAUGGACGAAAGUCUGACGGAGCAACGCCGCGUGAGUGAUGAAGGUUUUCGGAUCGUAAAACUCUGUUGUCAGGGAAGAACAAGUACCGGAGUAACUGCCGGUACCUUGACGGUACCUGACCAGAAAGCCACGGCUAACUACGUG